RNAcentral lists this ribosomal RNA (480 nucleotides) under uncultured bacterium. RNAcentral describes it as "partial 16S ribosomal RNA". It matches the Rfam family "Bacterial small subunit ribosomal RNA", at positions 28 to 523 of the family's 1533-position model. The record is from RNAcentral.
GACGAACGCUGGCGGCGUGCCUAACACAUGCAAGUCGAGCGAAUGAAGUUCCUUCGGGAACGGAUUUAGCGGCGGACGGGUGAGUAACGCGUGGGCAACCUGCCUCAUAGAGGGGAAUAGCCUUCCGAAAGGGAGAUUAAUACCGCAUAAGAUUGUAGUACCGCAUGGUACAGCAAUUAAAGGAGCAAUCCGCUAUGAGAUGGGCCCGCGGCGCAUUAGCUAGUUGGUGAGGUAACGGCUCACCAAGGCGACGAUGCGUAGCCGACCUGAGAGAGUGAUCGGCCACAUUGGGACUGACACACGGCCCAGACUCCUACGGGAGGCAGCAGUGGGGAAUAUUGCACAAUGGGGGAAACCCUGAUGCAGCAACGCCGCGUGAGUGAUGACGGCCUUCGGGUUGUAAAGCUCUGUCUUCAGGGACGAUAAUGACGGUACCUGAGGAGGAAGCCACGGCUAACUACGUGCCAGCCGCCGCCGUAA